Molecule: long non-coding RNA, 1186 nt
Organism: Scylla paramamosain (green mud crab)
Lineage: Eukaryota; Metazoa; Arthropoda; Malacostraca; Decapoda; Portunidae
Exons: 7
Source: RefSeq, a predicted model, not a curated record
CCCCAAAGCCCUUCAAUUCGUGUGUGUGUGUGUGUGUGUGUGUGUGUGUAUCCUCGAGCGUGUGAUCAAGGCGAAACAGGAUUGCUGGAGCUCCACUUGUAGCUUAUACAUAUCUAACAAUCCAGUGAGUUUGUCACUUGGCGGAACAUGAUGCCGUGACACGCAUGCCUCCUCGCGCCACCUGCUUCAGCCUGCCUCCCACUUGUCCCUCUCGGAAUACAAAACAAGCCAGUCACCGCGACCCGCCCGAGCACCAGCAGUCAAAAUGCUUUGUUUACGUGGUAAGCAUUACAGUGCAUGAGCUCUUCUUUCAAUUUCUGGGAACUUCUACGAGCGCCCGAGGUCAAGCGGCUCGAACCUCUAACGCUGAAACAGUCACUGUCGGGAAUGCCCGCUGCCCAGUGGCUACCUGCCUGAUUAGGAGUGUGGUGGGUGACCGAUCAUACUUCCCAGUCCUAUCUUCGAUGUUUUGCCAUGCCCGCUCAUCGCCGCCCUCCAGUCUGCCUACGUAUACCUGGCCAGGUACUCGUAUGAUCAUAGUGUCCUGACAAAAUUCAGUGUGGCGGCGUGGCGGGGACUGUAUGACAUUCAUAAUGAUCAUGGAUGAUGAAACACGGCCAAUGAGACAUGCAGGUGUUCGAUGCAGUGAGGGAUGAGCAGAGUGGUGCAUGGGUGGCCGUUGGUGCCCUGCUUGUUCAUGGCCCAGCACAGCACGAUCAUCUUGGUGAGGGAGAGCGGCGUGGUGUAGGUGAGACGGGAGGUGUUGCCCGACCAUUCAAACUAUGUGGAGAACGAUGGUAUGCAGGUCGUCGUGUUCUCCCCGGGGUGUGUCAAGCAGUCGAGAUGCCACAAUGCCAGCCGGUCUUAGCCAGUGCUCGGGAGAAGAACACCAGGGCCGCGUGCAGGGCGACAAUAAUUAGUGUUAGUUCAUUCAGUACGAAGGCAACAGCGUUUAGUUAUAAUUUUGAGGUCGUUAAAUUUACACUUGUCAAUUGUGUAAUCCCAGAUAUGGCAUAUACCCAAGAGGUUGUGCGUCAAAGACUCAUUUGUACAAACUGUAUGGCGAUACGCUGCCACCAGGUGCACAUCGUGUGUGGUUCUACACGGCAGCAAGAUCAGCCUAUGUGUACACCAUAGGAGGUAACAUCGGCAUUCGCAUUGGUGAUGUUAUCAUCAGAUGUACCUA